GCUCGAUGCCAACGUUUGUGUGCAUCCAGGAGCUCAGAGGAAUCAGCAAAUCUCCCCCAGCAGAGCUACGAAUCCCCAGCCCAGUUCAUUCAGGCGCAGCGGGACCGCCGGGAAUUAAUCCGAGGGGGAAUGCUGUGAAUUCCUGCACUCUCAUUCUUUGCUGGGCGCAGCUGGUGGCGGGGCCACUGCCAGAUGAAAGCAGGGCUGUCAGCUCCCAGCAGCCUGGCUCCAGCUGCAUUCCAGGGCCCGGACUGGCCUCAGCUGGUCCUCGGGUGCCACCUCCCUCUGCCAGGCUACCAAGCCCUGGGGUCUUGGGGUGCAGGUAAACCCUGCUCACCUGUUUACUCCUCUGGAGAGGUGAGGAAUGAUCAGAACAUGCAACUCCUUCUGCAUAGUGGGGGAAUUAUUUACUGCAGAUACAGACUGACAAUAAAUUAGUACACCCCCAAGAGUCUGGAAGGAACAGAGGAGGAGCAGUGAGUCACUCCUGAGUCAUAGAGCCUCCCUGGAUUUAUCCUGGGAUGAUGUACUGCACGCACCACUCCUUGAUCUGGUCUGUCUCGAAAGGACAACCCUGAAUAUAAUUGUGGAAAAAUAAAUGCUAGCAGCAAUCAUUCCUUGGCAGCAGCAGGCUAUAUUAUGUUUUG
Long non-coding RNA from Empidonax traillii (willow flycatcher), 647 nucleotides. RefSeq lists it as uncharacterized. The record is from RefSeq and is a predicted model, not a curated record. The transcript has 3 exons. Lineage: Eukaryota; Metazoa; Chordata; Aves; Passeriformes; Tyrannidae.